CAGUCGCCGCGGGAACACGAAGGGUGCAAGCGUUACUCGGAAUUACUGGGCGUAAAGCGUGCGUAGGUGGUGGUUUAAGUCCGUUGUGAAAGCCCUGGGCUCAACCUGGGAAUUGCAGUGGAUACUGGGUCACUAGAGUGUGGUAGAGGAUAGUGGAAUUUCCGGUGUAGCAGUGAAAUGCGUAGAGAUCGGAAGGAACAUCUGUGGCGAAGGCGACUAUCUGGGCCAACACUGACACUGAGGCACGAAAGCGUGGGGAGCAAACAGGAUUAGAUACCCGAGUAGUUCCUGUCUCUUAUAC
Molecule: ribosomal RNA, 301 nt
Filed under: uncultured bacterium
Lineage: Bacteria
Description: partial 16S ribosomal RNA
Rfam family: Bacterial small subunit ribosomal RNA
Source: RNAcentral